GAUGAACGCUGGCGGCUUGCCUAAUACAUGCAAGUCGAGCGAACGGACGAGAAGCUUGCUUCUCUGAUGUUAGCGGCGGACGGGUGAGUAACACGUGGAUAACCUACCUAUAAGACUGGGAUAACUUCGGGAAACCGGAGCUAAUACCGGAUAAUAUUUUGAACCGCAUGGUUCAAAAGUGAAAGACGGUCUUGCUGUCACUUAUAGAUGGAUCCGCGCUGCAUUAGCUAGUUGGUAAGGUAACGGCUUACCAAGGCAACGAUGCAUAGCCGACCUGAGAGGGUGAUCGGCCACACUGGAACUGAGACACGGUCCAGACUCCUACGGGAGGCAGCAGUAGGGAAUCUUCCGCAAUGGGCGAAAGCCUGACGGAGCAACGCCGCGUGAGUGAUGAAGGUCUUCGGAUCGUAAAACUCUGUUAUUAGGGAAGAACAUAUGUGUAAGUAACUGUGCACAUCUUGACGGUACCUAAUCAGAAAGCCACGGCUAACUACGUG
This 497-nucleotide ribosomal RNA is filed under the name uncultured bacterium. Its description in RNAcentral is "partial 16S ribosomal RNA". It matches the Rfam family "Bacterial small subunit ribosomal RNA", at positions 28 to 507 of the family's 1533-position model. The record is from RNAcentral.